Molecule: ribosomal RNA, 650 nt
Filed under: Staphylococcus epidermidis
Lineage: Bacteria; Bacillati; Bacillota; Bacilli; Caryophanales; Staphylococcaceae
Description: bacterial SSU rRNA
Rfam family: Bacterial small subunit ribosomal RNA
Source: RNAcentral
GCUGGCGGCGUGCCUAAUACAUGCAAGUCGAGCGAACAGACGAGGAGCUUGCUCCUCUGACGUUAGCGGCGGACGGGUGAGUAACACGUGGAUAACCUACCUAUAAGACUGGGAUAACUUCGGGAAACCGGAGCUAAUACCGGAUAAUAUAUUGAACCGCAUGGUUCAAUAGUGAAAGACGGUUUUGCUGUCACUUAUAGAUGGAUCCGCGCCGCAUUAGCUAGUUGGUAAGGUAACGGCUUACCAAGGCAACGAUGCGUAGCCGACCUGAGAGGGUGAUCGGCCACACUGGAACUGAGACACGGUCCAGACUCCUACGGGAGGCAGCAGUAGGGAAUCUUCCGCAAUGGGCGAAAGCCUGACGGAGCAACGCCGCGUGAGUGAUGAAGGUCUUCGGAUCGUAAAACUCUGUUAUUAGGGAAGAACAAAUGUGUAAGUAACUAUGCACGUCUUGACGGUACCUAAUCAGAAAGCCACGGCUAACUACGUGCCAGCAGCCGCGGUAAUACGUAGGUGGCAAGCGUUAUCCGGAAUUAUUGGGCGUAAAGCGCGCGUAGGCGGUUUUUUAAGUCUGAUGUGAAAGCCCACGGCUCAACCGUGGAGGGUCAUUGGAAACUGGAAAACUUGAGUGCAGAAGAGGAAAGUGGAAU